CGAGGUGGGACUGGCGAUGAGAUGUGGAGAUGCUGACAAAUUUGCUGUAAAGUAGCAUCAAUGUUGUCAAAUCGUUGAAAACACUGAUGCUCGAAUCGGGUGAGGCACUCAGAGAUUUCAGCAUAUGAAGCUUUCGCAUGAACUGGACAAGAGGGCGGUGGUGGCUGAGUCGGUUGGUCCUCGUGCUGUGGGGGGACAUCAUCAGGAAUGUCCUCGUAGGCCUCCUCCUCGGUAGAUUGGGUGAGACGAUACUGGGGAGGGGAGAUUCCUCGGUGCCUCUCGAUCAUUUUCAUGCUAAGCAUGCUCGAGAUGCCUUGUGGAGACAUCUGCCCAAUUGAUGCAGCGGCCUGCUGCUAAAGGUCGGGCCCGAAGUAUUUGGAAGAGCUCUUCUUGGUGCCCUCGUGGAAACUGUAGGAGAGGGAAAAGAGAUGUGGAAGUGAGAAUUAAUGCAGG
This 453-nucleotide long non-coding RNA is filed under the name Gossypium barbadense (sea-island cotton). RNAcentral's name for it is "long non-coding RNA (GBAR_LNC004503)". The record is from RNAcentral. Lineage: Eukaryota; Viridiplantae; Streptophyta; Magnoliopsida; Malvales; Malvaceae.